GAUGAACGCUGGCGGCGUGCCUAAUACAUGCAAGUCGAGCGAACGGACGAGAAGCUUGCUUCCCUGAUGUUAGCGGCGGACGGGUGAGUAACACGUGGAUAACCUACCUAUAAGACUGGGAUAACUUCGGGAAACCGGAGCUAAUACCGGAUGAUAUUUUGAACCGCAUGGUUCAAAAGUGAAAGACGGUCUUGCUGUCACUUAUAGAUGGAUCCGCGCUGCAUUAGCUAGUUGGUAAGGUAACGGCUUACCAAGGCGACGAUGCAUAGCCGACCUGAGAGGGUGAUCGGCCACACUGGAACUGAGACACGGUCCAGACUCCUACGGGAGGCAGCAGUAGGGAAUCUUCCGCAAUGGGCGAAAGCCUGACGGAGCAACGCCGCGUGAGUGAUGAAGGUCUUCGGAUCGUAAAGCUCUGUUAUUAGGGAAGAACAUAUGUGUAAGUAACUGUGCACAUCUUGACGGUACCUAAUCAGAAAGCCACGGCUAACUACGUG
RNAcentral lists this ribosomal RNA (497 nucleotides) under uncultured bacterium. RNAcentral's name for it is "partial 16S ribosomal RNA". It matches the Rfam family "Bacterial small subunit ribosomal RNA", at positions 28 to 507 of the family's 1533-position model. The record is from RNAcentral.